RNAcentral lists this ribosomal RNA (497 nucleotides) under uncultured bacterium. RNAcentral's name for it is "partial 16S ribosomal RNA". It matches the Rfam family "Bacterial small subunit ribosomal RNA", at positions 28 to 507 of the family's 1533-position model. The record is from RNAcentral.
GAUGAACGCUGGCGGCGUGCCUAAUACAUGCAAGUCGAGCGAACAGACGAGGAGCUUGCUCCUCUGACGUUAGCGGCGGACGGGUGAGUAACACGUGGAUAACCUACCUAUAAGACUGGGAUAACUUCGGGACACCGGAGCUAAUACCGGAUAAUAUAUUGAACCGCAUGGUUCAAUAGUGAAAGACGGUUUUUCUGUCACUUAUAGAUGGAUCCGCGCCGCAUUAGCUAGUUGUUAAGGUAACGGCUUACCACGGCGACCAUGCGUAGCCGAAGUGCGAGGGGGGUAGGCGACAUUGGAGGGGAGACGGGGACAAUGGGACUAAGGGAGGGAGCAGAAGGGAACCUGACGCAAUGGGGGAAAGCAUGACGGAGCAAGGCGGCGUGAGUGAUGAAGGUGUUGGGAUCGGAAAAAUCUGUUAUUAGGGAAGAACAAAUGUGUAAGGAAAUGAGCAGGGCGUGACGGUACUGAAUCAGGAAGCCACGGCUAACUACGUG